UUCAGUUCAGAAAAGGUACAGAGACACACACAUCAGGGACCUUCAGGAGCUUGGAGGAACGCUGUAACCAGAUCCUGAGGAACAUGGAGGCCUCCCUGACAGCCCGGGAUCGUGUGGGCAUUCAAGAUUUCGUUCUCUUGGACGCCUACACGAGUGAGAGUGCCUUCCUGGACAACCUGAGGAAACGCUUCCAUGAGAAUCUCAUUUACACCUACAUUGGAACUCUCUUGGUGUCGGUCAACCCAUAUAAAGAGUUAGAUAUCUACAGCAAGAAGCAAAUGGAUACCUACAUGGGUGUGAAUUUCUUUGAGCUGCCACCUCAUAUUUAUGCGCUGGCAGACAACGUCUUCCGCAGCAUGCAGUCUGAGUUCAACAACCACUUCAUCCUGAUCUCAGGGGAGAGCGGAGCCGGCAAGACAGAGGCCUCCAAAAAAAUCCUGCAAUUCUACGCUGUCAGCUGUCCAAGUACUAAACUCCUGAACAACGUCCGGGACAGACUGCUUCUCUCCAACCCAGUGCUUGAGGCUUUCGGAAAUGCCAAAACCCUGAAGAAUGACAACUCUAGCCGCUUUGGGAAAUACAUGGACAUCCAGUUCGACCACCAGGGUGGUGCUGUUGGGGGUCACAUCCUCAGUUACCUGUUGGAGAAGUCCCGUGUGGUCCACCAGAACCACGGAGAAAGAAACUUCCAUAUCUUCUAUCAGCUGGUGGAGGGAGGAGAGGAAGAUCUGCUCCGCUGGCUCGGCCUGCAGAGAAACUGCCAGCACUACAGGUACCUGGUGCAGGGUGAUUGUGCCAAAGUGAGCUCUAUCAAUGAUAAAAGUGACUGGAAGACAGUGCAGAAAGCCCUCUCUGUCAUAGAGUUCGGUGAGAGUGAUAUUGAGCACCUGUUUGGAAUAAUCGCUAGUGUUCUCCAUCUGGGGAAUAUCAAGUUUGAAGCAGAUGUUAGAGGAUACGCCUCUCUCAACAACAACCAGGAGAUGCACUGGGUGUCAAAGUUGCUGGGGAUUCCUAUUCAGGUAUUACAACAGGGCCUAACCCACAGGAAGAUUGAAGCCAAAACAGAGGAGGUGUUCAGUCCUUUCUCUGUGGACCAUGCAGUAUAUGCCAGGGAUGCCCUCGCCAAAGCUAUCUAUGGCCGCACUUUCAACUGGCUGGUCAACAAGAUCAAUGAAUCUUUAGUUAACAAGGAUUCCUCCAGGAAAACAGUAAUUGGUCUGUUGGACAUCUAUGGUUUCGAGGUUUUCAACGUGAACAGCUUUGAGCAGUUUUGCAUCAACUACUGCAACGAGAAGUUGCAGCAGCUUUUCAUCCAGCUGACCCUCAAGUCAGAGCAGGAGGAGUACGAGAUGGAGGGGAUUGAAUGGGAACCAGUGCCAUUUUUCAACAACAAGAUCAUCUGUGAUCUUGUAGAGGAGAAACAUAGAGGAAUCAUCUCUUUAUUGGACGAGGAAUGUUUACGUCCUGGAGAGGCCACAGAUCUCACCUUCCUGGAGAAGAUGGAGGAAAAGAUCAGUGGUCAUCCUCAUUUCGUCACACAUAAACUUGCAGACCAAAAGACGAGGAAAACACUGGAAAGGGGAGACUUCCGCCUCUUGCACUAUGCUGGCGAGGUUACAUACUGUGUUGUUGGAUUCUUGGACAAAAACAAUGAUCUCUUGUAUAGAAAUGGGAAAGAGGUCAUGCGACAGUCCAAGAAUGCUAUAAUCAAACACUGUUUUCCUUCUACUGAACCGGACAGCAAGAGGAGACCUGAAACUGUGGUGACUCAGUUUAAGAGCAGCCUGGUGAGCUUGACUGAGAUCCUAAUGUCCAAAGAGCCCUGGUAUGUCCGCUGCAUUAAACCCAAUGAAGCCAAGCAGCCAGGACGCUUUGAUGAUGUGUUGGUGAGACAUCAGAUGAAGUACCUGGGGCUGAUGGAGCACCUGAGGGUCAGGCGUGCUGGGUUUGCUUACCGACGCAAAUAUGAGCUCUUUCUCCAGAGGUACAAGCCUCUGUGUCCUGAAACCUGGCCCAACUGGAAAGGUACAGCAGCAGAAGGUGUGCAGUGCCUGAUCAAGCACCUGGGCUACAAACCUAAUGAGUACAAGAUGGGCAGGACAAAGAUUUUCAUCCGGCACCCUAGAACUCUGUUUGCAACAGAAGAUGCCUUUCAGGUCUGCAAACACAAGCUAGCAACAAGCAUUCAGGCCAAGUACAAAGGCUACAGAGCGAAAGGAGACUACCUUAAACAGAGAGAGGCUGCCACUAAGAUUGAGACCUGCUGGAGAGGUCUGCUGGCCAGAAAGGAGCGUGAAAAGAGGGCAUGGGCUGUCAAGGUAAUCCAAAAGUUCAUUAAAGGUUUCAUCACUCGAAAUCAGCCAGUCUGCGUUGACAACAGUGAGUACCUGGCGUACGUAAGGCAGAACUACCUCACACGGCUGAGGGACAACCUUCCCAAAACAGUCGUGGAAAAAGACUCUUGGCUCACCCCUCCGCCUAUAAUGCAGGAAGUUUCCCAGCUGUUGAAGAAGCUCUACAUUCGCCACAUGGUACGGAAGUACGUUCGGGGAAUCACUCCACAGAGGAAAGCACAGCUUCUGUUAAAAGCACAGACGAGCUCCAUGUUCAAAGGAAAAAAAGAAAACUACCCCUUCAGUGUGUGCAGACCAUUCAUGGACACCAGGAUAGGUGCAGGAGACAUAAGCAUCAAAGUGCUUCAGAUGAUCCGGCAUGAGCACAUCAAGUACAGUGUGCCAGUGGUGAAGUAUGACAGAAACGGGUUCAGGCCUCGUCUCCGGCAGCUCAUCUUUACCCAGGAAGCCGCCUACCUGGUCGAGGAUGCCAAGAUCAAGCAGCGGAUAGAUUACAUCUCUCUGAAAGGUGUGUCGGUCAGCAACCUGAGUGACAACUUCCUGAUCCUUCAUGUUACAUGUGAUGACAUCAAGCAAAAGGGUGAUCUGGUCCUUCAGUGUGACUACCUGUUUGAGGCCCUGACUAAGUUGAGUCUUAUUGGCAACCAGCAGAACUCCAUUAAAGUGGUCCAGGGCAGGUACAUAAUCUGGACUUGUGCGAUUUGACAUCCAGCCCGGCAGAGAGGGCUUCGUGGACUUCAAGAGUGGUCAGGAGUCCAUGGUCUACAGGGCAAAAAAUGGCCAUUUGAUGGUGGAAUCUACAAGAACCAAGUCCAGAUGAUGCUACCAGUGAUUUGGGAUGAUGUUGCUGCAAAAUAUGAGUAACAGCAGUGUUUGUUCUGUGAUCCUGCUUCAUGGUUUUUGCCAAUUGUGUUUCAUGUCAGCUGGUUUUUCAGUUUUGCAUAUUUAUGACAAUGUUAUUCAAUCAUGUGUAACAAAUAUUACACUGCCAAUUACUUAGUUGUAAAGCGCAGACAACAAGCUAAUAGUAGAGGCUAGCCAGAAUAUCAUUAUGUCUGUUGUUCCUAAUGUGUCUGAAGUUGAAAUCAUCUCUAAGUGAACAAACAGAUCCCAGCUCACAUUCAUUAAAAUCAGCCAUCCUUAAUGAAUAGAAGCACUUGUAAUAUUUGUUGUAUUAAAUGUAUCUGAAAUGCUGUCUAGAUGAUAACAGUAGAGAACAAUAUGAGGAAUGUGUGCAGUCAUGAAUGUUUACAAUGCCUCAUCCAUGUUGUACUUUAACAUUAAAACAUGUUUUACCCCAGUGGA
Molecule: RNA transcript, 3659 nt
Organism: Perca fluviatilis (European perch)
Lineage: Eukaryota; Metazoa; Chordata; Actinopteri; Perciformes; Percidae
Gene: myo1hb
Gene name: myosin IHb
Exons: 32
Source: RefSeq, a predicted model, not a curated record